Molecule: ribosomal RNA, 247 nt
Filed under: uncultured Actinomycetes bacterium
Lineage: Bacteria; Bacillati; Actinomycetota; Actinomycetes
Description: uncultured actinobacterium partial 16S ribosomal RNA
Rfam family: Bacterial small subunit ribosomal RNA
Source: RNAcentral
AAUCAACGCUGGCGGCGUGCCUCAGACAUGCAAGUCGAGCGGUAAGGCCCUUUCGGGGGUACACGAGCGGCGAACGGGUGAGUAACACGUGGGUGACCUGCCCUUAGCUCUGGGAUAAGCCUGGGAAACUGGGUCUAAUACCGGAUAUGACUCCAUGACGCAUGUUGUGGGGUGGAAGGCCUUGUGCGGCUGGGGAUGGGCCCGCGGCCUAUCAGCUUGUUGGUGGGGUGAUGGCCUACCAAGGCGA